RNAcentral lists this ribosomal RNA (227 nucleotides) under uncultured Roseburia sp. RNAcentral's name for it is "partial 16S ribosomal RNA". It matches the Rfam family "Bacterial small subunit ribosomal RNA", at positions 127 to 355 of the family's 1533-position model. The record is from RNAcentral. Lineage: Bacteria; Bacillati; Bacillota; Clostridia; Lachnospirales; Lachnospiraceae.
UGCCUCAUAGUGGGGAUAACAGUUGGAAACGGCUGCUAAUACCGCAUAAGCGCACAGCAUCGCAUGAUGCCGUGUGAAAAACUCCGGUGCUAUGAGAUGGAUCCGCGUCUGAUUAGCUAGUUGGUAGGGUAAGAGCCUACCAAGGCGACGAUCAGUAGCCGGCCUGAGAGGGCGACCGGCCACAUUGGGACUGAGACACGGCCCAGACUCCUACGGGAGGCAGCAGC